This 140-nucleotide microRNA precursor is filed under the name Podarcis lilfordi (Lilford's wall lizard). Lineage: Eukaryota; Metazoa; Chordata; Lepidosauria; Squamata; Lacertidae. The record is from RNAcentral.
AUUUAGCCAGCUGAGUGGGGAGGAGAGAGGGACAGAGAGCCUGCUUGCUUUAAAGGAGCCAACCUCUCCUCUCCCGCUUUGCUCCUUUAAAGCAAGCAGGCUCUCUGUCCCUCUCUCCUCCCCACUCAGCGGCUCUUCUC